GACGAACGCUGGCGGCGUGCUUAACACAUGCAAGUCGAACGGAAAGGCCCUGCUUUUGUGGGGUGCUCGAGUGGCGAACGGGUGAGUAACACGUGAGUAACCUGCCCUUGACUUUGGGAUAACUUCAGGAAACUGGGGCUAAUACCGGAUAGGAGCUCCUGCUGCAUGGUGGGGGUUGGAAAGUUUCGGCGGUUGGGGAUGGACUCGCGGCUUAUCAGCUUGUUGGUGGGGUAGUGGCUUACCAAGGCUUUGACGGGUAGCCGGCCUGAGAGGGUGACCGGCCACAUUGGGACUGCGAUACGGCCCAGACUCCUACGGGAGGCAGCAGUGGGGAAUAUUGCACAAUGGGCGGAAGCCUGAUGCAGCAACGCCGCGUGCGGGAUGACGGCCUUCGGGUUGUAAACCGCUUUCGCCUGUGACGAAGCGUGAGUGACAGUAAUGGGUAAAGAAGCACCGGCUAACUACGUG
RNAcentral lists this ribosomal RNA (468 nucleotides) under uncultured bacterium. Its description in RNAcentral is "partial 16S ribosomal RNA". It matches the Rfam family "Bacterial small subunit ribosomal RNA", at positions 28 to 507 of the family's 1533-position model. The record is from RNAcentral.